GAUGAAGAACGUAGCGAAAUGCGAUAAGUAGUGUGAAUUGCAGAAUUCAGUGAAUCAUCGAAUCUUUGAACGCACAUUGCGCCCUAUAGUAUUCUGUAGGGCAUGCAUGUUCGAGCGUCAUUUGUACCUUCAAGCUUUGCUUGGUGUUGGGUGUUUGUCCUCUCCCUGGUGUUUGGACUCGCCUUAAAACAAUUGGCAGCCAGUGUUUUGGUAUUGAAGCGCAGCACAAUUUGCGAUUCUGGCCUUAAAAUACUAGCGUCCAUAAGUACAUCCUCACUUUUGACCUCGGAUCAUGUAGGGAUACCCGCUGAACUUAAGCAUAUCAAUAAGCGGAGGA
Molecule: unclassified non-coding RNA, 337 nt
Filed under: soil metagenome
Description: partial contains 5.8S ribosomal RNA, internal transcribed spacer 2, and large subunit ribosomal RNA
Rfam family: 5.8S ribosomal RNA (bases 1-120)
Source: RNAcentral